GGAGGAUCAUUAUCGUAGGGCUUCGGCCCUGUCGAGAUAGAACCCUUGCCUUUUUGAGUACCUUUCGUUUCCUCGGCAGGCUCGCCUGCCAAUGGGGACCACAAAAAACACUUUGCAGUACCUGUAACAGUCUGAACAAACAAACAAAAAUUAAAACUUUCAACAACGGAUCUCUUGGUUCUGGCAUCGAUGAAGAACGCAGCGAAAUGCGAUAAGUAGUGUGAAUUGCAGAAUUCAGUGAAUCAUCGAAUCUUUGAACGCACAUUGCGCCCUUUGGUAUUCCUUAGGGCAUGCCUGUUCGAGCGUCAUUUAAACCUUCAAGCUAAGCUUGGUGUUGGGUGACUGUCCGCUUCACGGCGGACUCGCCUCAAAAUUAUUGGCGGCCGGUACAUUGGCUUCGAGCGCAGCAGAAACGCGAAUUCGGGCCCGUCGUAUUGGCUCCCAGAAGCUAUCUUCACAAUUUUGACCUCGGAUCAGGUAGGGAUACCCGCUGAACUUAAGCAUAUCAAUAAGCGGAGA
Molecule: ribosomal RNA, 519 nt
Filed under: uncultured Pleosporales
Lineage: Eukaryota; Fungi; Ascomycota; Dothideomycetes; Pleosporales
Description: eukaryotic LSU rRNA
Rfam family: 5.8S ribosomal RNA (bases 155-308)
Source: RNAcentral